Non-coding RNA from Phalacrocorax carbo (great cormorant), 6022 nucleotides. NCBI's taxonomy places the organism in Eukaryota, Metazoa, Chordata, Aves, Suliformes, Phalacrocoracidae. The record is from RefSeq and is a predicted model, not a curated record.
UUGAUGUCCAAUUUCUUACCAGAAUGUAACUGUCAAUAUGGUAACAAGUAGAACAAACUACCAAACGCAGCAUUUGAUUACACACCUCUUGAUAGUUCUAGCUCACAACUAAAUGUGAACUUCUGAAAGAUACACUUACCUUUAAAAGGCUGGAGAGGUUAGAUGAGGUGGUGCAGUAAUACCUUAUGAAUUUGUUGUCUAGCAGCAAUAAUAGAUUAUUUUAAUCCUUUGAGUGGGGCUCACAGAAUUCUUACUUUAGUCAAACAUUAAGAAGAAUAGAAGGAAAUGUUUUUCCAUAAAACUUUAAUUGGCGUAAUAUCUCUAUAUAUUCUGGGCGUAUAAGAAAAGUAGCAGUAUUUUGGGCUGUUUAUCACCUGUAUUCAGAGGAAGUGACAUUUUCAGACCCGUGCUCUGCAAGUGAGAUAUGUGCAUCGGAUAAAGCAGGGACAGGUCUCCUGGGUCUACAAGGUGGAUUGCUCCUUAGCUGUCUUCCUGUAACAGGUUCUACAACAUCUCUGGGGGUUGGGGUUUUAUUUGGUGGGUAUUUUCUUUCUUUCUUUCCUUUCCCCUACUGGUGGGAGCAUGAGAAGUACCAGUAUGUGUGUCUAAUCUAUUGAAAUGAACUCAAAAUGGUGCUUUUUUUUUCUAGUGCAGGGACUCCACAACACAAAGAUGUAUGUCCUCUCUCACGGUAGCUGUCUGGGAUAACGUGGUGGUCACACGUUUCCCAUACCAACAUUCAAAUAUGGUGAAUGUAGGUUAUAGUUCUGGACUAAUAAUUCAAAUAAAGAUUAAUUUCUAUUGCAAAAAUGUAAAACACAUUAAAAGUUAAUUUCAAGGGCAAAGCUAAAUUGAAGUCCCUAAGAAAAUACUUUAAAUUAGAUGAAUUACCUGUAAAAUAAACAUCAUAGAUAAAAAGUGAGUUUACUUAAUAUAAAAAAGUUAAUAAAAUGGGCUGUGAAAGGAAGAUGAGCAGCAGUGUUAAGAUAAAUAGUCCGCUCACACCGAAAUAGAGCAUGAAAGUUCAUCUGUGAUAUAGAAGUUUAUGGAAAAUUUACAAGACAAAAUGCAUUCUGGUGUAUUAAACAGAGGACCACUGGGAUUUGUGUGUUGUGAGCUGUCAGUAGGCUCAUCAUAACCAUUACAAAUCUACUCUGAAAUGUUAAAAGAGCAAAAAUAUUGAGCUAGAAGGUCCAAUUCCUCUGGGCCAGGGAAAAGAAGUGGGUACUGGCUUUUUUUUUUUUUUGUAUGCUAUCCUUCCACAUGUUGCAAUGCAGGAAACUACAGAGCAGGUGGAAAGGUCAGGCCUGUGCAGAGACUUUACUGCAUAUUUCACUUCCCUGCUCCUUAGCUCCUUAGUUAGAGGCUACUUCCUCGGUUCUGUGGUGUUCUUGUGGGAGUCAAAUCAUAAAAUGAAAAUCAACCCCUAUGGAAAUCAAAUGUACCUCAGAGUGCUGGGACAGAUGCAGUUUGAGAGCGAAAAAACCCCAAAACAAAACCAAACCUGCAAAACCUCCUGAGAGGUGAUAGCCUGGAAAACUGGAAAUUACGUUAAAAAACAGCCAAAGGGAGAAUCCCUUUGUUCCUUUGGAGAGUUUUAGUGAGGAAUGUGGGAAAGCGCCUGUCCUGUGGACUUUCCUUUCAAUAUCUACAGUCACUGAAUUUAUCUCUGUAAAAUGUAUUGCAAUGUAGCUGUAACUGUUAAUAUUUGUACAUGCACAUGAGUUCCUCUCUAACUAAAUAUUCUUGCUUGGAGUGCUCAUGGCUCACAUCCUGCUCUGACCGGCUCCUGUGAAUAACCCAGUGUGCUGAUGGACUGACAAGACACCCUAUUCUGUUACAGCUGAAUUGGGGCCGAUACACGUUACACACAGUGCUGCCUGACAAAUUGAAUCAGCUACUCUAAGUGAUUUUGCCUGUUUCAGAGUACUGGGAAACUCAAAGGGCAUCAAGUCAAAUUACACAUUGAUUGCAGUUUGCCCUGUAGCUUUUGCACACAGAAGGAAUCACAUACAACACUUAGAUUAGUGGAAGAGACUGCAUCAGGGGAAUAUCGCAUGUAAGCAUGUAGAAGUUGGACUUCCCUGGGUGGUAGUAACGCUGUGAGUCUAGCCACCCAGGAAAGAGCAAAAUUUAUGUUGAUGUGUGCUUCCCAAAUGACACAGACAAAGACUUCAUCAUCCCUUCUGUAGACCUUGUAAUUCCCGACUUAGCCAUACUGUAAUUCAUGUUUUGCUUUGGGUUAUUUUUCCUUCUUCAAGUAAACAAAAUGUCAGAAUACCACAAAUUAGAGUAAUGUCUAGAUUUGUUUUAUAUAGAAAUACAAAUCCGUAUGUACUAAUGUUUAUGAACUGCUAUAUAUUAGAAUAUCUUUAACCAUGGAGGUCACUGAUCUACUACUGUAUGAUCUACAACUAUCCAGAGUUUGGAUGACAGACCAGUAGUCAGAUGCCUGAGAACACAAUUUUUAUUUUCAAGUUUUCUUUGGAACCACAGAGGCUAAAUGCUUCCUUAAAAAGCAGUAGUAAAAAUAACUUAAAAGUCAAGAAAACAGAGAUUCUCACAUGAACCGUUUGUUCUAAUAGCUGACAUUUAAAAGACAAUACGAGAUACUGUAUGACUUACAACGAUAUGCCAGGCAUCCACACAAAGGCUUGUCUUUAUUUCAUUUGCAGUGCUUGCACUAGCUGAGGCCUCCUCUUUAUCCUCGGUAUGCUGAUGAGCAAAUUUUGCACCAGCUCACAACAUGCUUCUUAGAGGAGUGUCAUAAGUAUUACCAAAAUGAUUUUAAAAAGCCUCCAUGUACAGGAUCUCAGUUUAUUGAUCAGUCAUAUAUGUAGAGUAAGAUCAGGUUCAGCACGCAUGUCAGUGUUUCAGCUUCUCUGAACGGUCUUCCAAGUCAUUUAGUCGGCUGAAUAAUCCUGAAGAUUUCUGAUUUCUCUCUGUUGCCAGGCAGAUUUCUUAUUUGUUCCAUGUUUUCUUUCAGUUCGUUAUUAAAAGCACUACUGCAAUUUUUCUCAAUAUUGUUUCUAAGAAAAUGGUCACUUGGUUUCUGUUCUUGGUGCUCUCUCUUACACUCAUAAACCUGAUAAACGUACCAAGAAAACAUGUUCUAUCACUUCUGUUUACUAAGGUUGCCAGUCAACAAGAGGUGACAGCAAAUGAAACUGAGGGAUUUGUAUUGUGUAUGUACAAACGUAAGGGUUGUUGUCUGUCACAUUCUGUGUUUUGGAUGCAUCCUUUACUUCUCUCACCUAAUCCUUACUACUCAGUCACGAUAAAUAUUUUGGGAAGGAUAUGUUGCUCCAAACUCUCCCCAACACAAUUUCUGUGUUUGCCUAGGCUGAAAGCUUCGUUGUUUAGUUGGUUGUUUCAGUGAAUUCCUUCCACAGAAGGAAAUGGAAUACGCAUUUCUAUUAGAUUUCUUCAGCAGAUAUGAAGGUGGCUUGGAUUCAAGGACUGAUAGUCUUUUGACUGGACUUAGAGAUGUACUGUAUCUGUUGUUUAAGGUCAAAUGUCUCAAUAAAAUCUUUCCAUAGAAGCGACUUGUUAGCUUGCACUUUUAUCAGGCCCCUUCUGCAUUUUUUUCCCCCCAGCUUUCUUGAUUUAAAAAAUGACAAUGAUGGUAUCUGAGUUUUCUGGGAAUUUCUGCACUGUGAUGCAUGUUGUGAACACAAUUUUUUUCUAGUUCUGCUUCUGGGCUCCCUCUGAUCUUUGUAAUGUACAGUGCAGCGCUGUCUUCCCUAGGCACUUCUCUUAUCGUUUUCUUAACUUGUUCUUCUGUUCCUCAUAUGGGGUAACUUGUGAAGCUAUGCAAGGGAAUCAUUCACAAUACCAUCUAAACUGCAGAAAAACAUUUAUAAAGAUUCCACAGAAGCCAAAGAUUAUGAACAUUGGCCUUUUUUAAAGCUUAAAAUGUGGAAAAAUGAAGAUCCCACAACUAUUGAAAAAGCCUUUCCCCAACCUACAAAACCCAACACAUAAAUAGAAGUCUUACCUAUUAUAGAUGCAAUGUUAUUCUGUAGGAACUGUAUUAGGAUCAUAAUGAGUAAACAGAAAGACUAUUGGGCUAAGGCUAAGCAUUUGCUCAUUAAGGUGUGUUUUGUAAAAACAUGACCACUUUUUCUGUCCACCCCUCCCUGCACACACCAGCAAAUCACCGCCCAGCAUACAAAGUAAAUACACGGCAGAAGUAAAUUGCUGUUCUCAGCAGAACAAAAGAUAUUUCAUUUUUUAAUAAACAUCCAAUUGCUUUUGGUUGUCUCCACUUUUCAGUUAUUGGUAGUAUAUGAACUGCUGAAAUUGAUCCUCUUGUUUAAAGUUGUUUGGAGUUUUGCUUCCUGCCACAGAUCACGGUUGUAUAUGCUGGAAUUCCUGUGGGCCAGGCGACCUGCCUCCUCAUGUGGCUUACAGCAUGCGUCCUACCAGCGGGCACUGAGAGAGAACCUGCUGCUACUUAUCUCCUCCUCCCGCUUUGGCUUCCUUGGUACAUGUGCCUGUAAAUAUUUACUUUUCAUGUUGCUUUGAUUUCUUGUUGUGGCUACUUUGGGCUUGAGCCAGUGUUCACUAGCAAGGCAAGCAAGAGAUAUUCAGAAUGAUUAUCAAAGACAUAAUGUGUCAUCUUGAAAAGUAACCAAUUAUCAUCCUAAAGUAUUUGAAUCAUGUGCUUGCGGACACGAAAGACUGUGUGCAGAAGCAGCUUAUACUUCUACAUCUGUCUGCAGGUCUGACUCUAUAAGCUCGGUCAUGAAAGUGAUUAUUCACUUUGUUUUCUGCUUAAUACAAAGUGUCUGUUACUUAGCAUGAAAUUAGUAGAUCCUAAUACUAAACCUGCAGCUUUGUUUUGCUGUCUAUCUUGUAUAGUGUUGUGUUUAUAUAUUAGACUGUUUUAACUUGGUAGGACCAAACUGAUACCUCUGGUACUUCUAGAAGCAUUGUUAACCUGCUACCUCGUGUUUUGUUAGGUCUCAGGAUAGAGAUUUGCAUUAUAAAAGUGCUGUAAGAUGUAGGCAACCUGAGAAUCCAUCAAAAACUGGGAAAUUGCCCAACUUCUCCUUUGAUCUUACUGGUGAUUUUAUCAGGAGGAUAGGUGCUAUUUUGAAACCGCAGAAAUUGCAUGACUUGUGGGGCAGCCAUCAUAUGGCAACUUUCCUCCAUUGUAUGAAAAAGCGUAUUUUCCACACAGAUGGUUUAAUAGUGAUUUUGGUUUCGCUUUUUCCAGUGUAACUUGGCUGAGUCUCUUUCUCUUAUUUGUCUUUAUUUAUUUAUUUUUUCUUUCUCUUUUAUCACACUGUGAAGUGAUUUGGCCUGUCUUUUUCAUGGCUGUUCAUGACAGUUUCUUGUCCAUUCCUACAGAGCUUCUGCCUUUAUUCUUUUCAUCACAGCAUAGCUGAUCAGCCAGCCUCACUGGCAGGAGUUAACUGGAACCUGGGUACUUUUCCAGUUGAAGGACAAAACUGUUCUUCCUGCAACCUGUAUUUCAACAAUGGGUAAAGAGAAGUUUUGUAGUUAACAUUAAAUAAAAACACAUGAUUUCCUGCAGCUGGAGUCUUAAUCUUGCAUUAGGCUUCCCACAGCCAGUGCUGCAAGCGGCAGUUUUUAAAAACUGGUGGAAUGGCAGAUCUUGGUUUUGCAAUUGCAAAACUCUGUUAAAAUUCAGUUUGUAUCUGUUCAUCACAAAACUACCAAGAGAGAAUGAGCUUCUGGGGCUUCUUGCUUUUGAAAUUGCUGCUGGGAUAUCAGUGGAGCCCAGUGCUGUUCUUUUAUAGGAGACGACAAUUUCUGUACUGAAAUUUAGGUUUUAUUUAGCAGUAUUGCUCUCCAUUUAAUUAGGCCUUCCAUCCUUCUGUCCUUGGAUAUCUUCCUUUCUGGAAUUAGCCAAGUUCUCUAACAGCGGAGUUAUAUAGCUUGUAGAACUUGUUUUAACAGCUGCAUGUUUUGGUGUUCACUUCCUACAUUGUUCUUGCGGAAGAUGCCAUAAUCUUAAAUCCUCAUCUGAAAAUGUUAUGAGCCUGUCACUUUU